Molecule: ribosomal RNA, 253 nt
Filed under: uncultured bacterium
Lineage: Bacteria
Description: partial 16S ribosomal RNA
Rfam family: Bacterial small subunit ribosomal RNA
Source: RNAcentral
UACAGAGGUCUCAAGCGUUGUUCGGAUUCAUUGGGCGUAAAGGGUGCGUAGGUGGCGCGAUAAGUCGGGUGUGAAAUCUCGGAGCUUAACUCCGAAAUUGCAUUCGAUACUGCCGUGCUUGAGGACUGGAGAGGAGACUGGGAUUCAUGGUGUAGCAGUGAAAUGCGUAGAGAUCAUGAGGAAGACCAGUGGCGAAGGCGGGUCUCUGGACAGUUCCUGACACUGAGGCACGAAGGCCAGGGGAGCAAACGGG